This 253-nucleotide ribosomal RNA is filed under the name uncultured bacterium. RNAcentral describes it as "partial 16S ribosomal RNA". It matches the Rfam family "Bacterial small subunit ribosomal RNA", at positions 524 to 776 of the family's 1533-position model. The record is from RNAcentral.
UACGAACCGUCCAAACGUUAUUCGGAAUUACUGGGCUUAAAGGGUAUGUAGGCGGCGCUGUUAGUCGGGUGUGAAAUCCCUCGGCUCAACCGAGGAAUUGCGCCCGAUACUGCAGUGCUUGAGGGAGACAGAGGUAAGCGGAACUGAUGGUGGAGCGGUGAAAUGCGUUGAUAUCAUCAGGAACACCGGUGGCGAAAGCGGCUUACUGGGUCUCUUCUGACGCUGAGAUACGAAAGCUAGGGGAGCGAAGGGG